GCUGGGCAUGGUGGCGCAUGCCUGUAAUCCCAGCUACUUGGGAGGCUGAGAUGAGAGAAUUGCUUGAACCCAGGAGGCGGAGGUUGCAGUGAGCCAAGAUCUCGCCACUGCAGUCCAGCAUGGGCGACAGAGUGAGACUCCAUCUCAA
RNAcentral lists this non-coding RNA (148 nucleotides) under Pan paniscus (pygmy chimpanzee). RNAcentral also lists the same sequence under 1 other name. Lineage: Eukaryota; Metazoa; Chordata; Mammalia; Primates; Hominidae. The record is from Rfam by way of RNAcentral.